Molecule: ribosomal RNA, 362 nt
Filed under: Tubifex tubifex (sludge worm)
Lineage: Eukaryota; Metazoa; Annelida; Clitellata; Tubificida; Naididae
Description: partial 16S ribosomal RNA
Rfam family: Bacterial large subunit ribosomal RNA
Source: RNAcentral
UGAAAGGACAAACGAGAAUACACCUGUCUCCUUUAAGCCCUUAAAAAUUUAUCUUUAAGUGAAGAAGCUUAAAUUCAUAUGCAGGACAAGAAGACCCUAUAGAGCUUUACCUAAAAUCUACAUAAAUAGUAGCUAGCGGUUCGGUUGGGGCGACCGGGGGACAUUCAUCACCCCCAAACUAAAAGAUAUACCUAUCCCACCAAAGAUCCUUACUCAAGAUCAAAGAAUCAAGCUACCUUAGGGAUAACAGGCUAAUCCUCUUAGAGAGCCCUUAUCGACAAGAGGGGUUGGCACCUCGAUGUUGGCUUAGGACUUCUCCAUGUCGCAGCAGACAUGGCAAGAUGGUUUGUUCAACCAUUAAA